This 117-nucleotide small RNA is filed under the name Marmota monax (woodchuck). Lineage: Eukaryota; Metazoa; Chordata; Mammalia; Rodentia; Sciuridae. The record is from RNAcentral.
GCCAGGUGUGAUGGUGUACAUCUGUAGUCCCAGCUAUUUGGGAGGCUGAAGUCAGAGAAUUGCUUGAGCCCAGGAGUUCCAGACCAGCAUGGGCAACAUAACAAGACGUCAUCUCAA